UGUUGCUCCAGUCACGAAGGGCUCUGGCGGGGCCACCUCCUCUUCCAGUCCAUAUUUGUGGGUCACCAUAAUGCUGAGUGGUGAAAAGCACAUACCCUGCAGGCACCGGGUUCACAGGUGUGACUGAUGUGACUCUGGGGGAGCUGCAGACUGUGGUUGUGGAGCCAGUAGAAACAACUUGAGCAGCCAUCAUAUUGAAGAAGACAAUAAGGAAGAUCCAGAGCUGACUGACCCAUGUGGACUUAAGGAUGAUGAACUCAAGGCUACACUGUUCAAAUAUUUAGUCGAAGCUAGACCCAUUGUAGCCACCACCAGGUCUAUCUAUGAGAGGAAGCUAAAAGGCUAAUAGAACCUACCCAGCCCAGACAGAAUGGUGGCACAGGAUAUGCAAACCAGUACUAUGACAGUGAAGAAGAGGAGGAAGAGUGGGGUUCAGAACAAGGAAGACCAGAGCAGUGGAGGAAUAUCAGCAUGCUAAUGAUCAGGGUCACCCGUCGGAGGCCUUUCAAGGGUGCAGCGGGGCAACCAGUCCAGUUUAAAUUCCCAGAUCUCCCUGCCAGUCUUAUGACCCUACAGAGACGGGCAUUGGAGUGCCGCCUGGUGCCUCUGUUGGUCUAGAUCCUGGUCUUCCUCAUCUUGACUUGCCUCUUCUACCUCAUCUACGCUGCCAUGGAAUACAGCUUGGACCAACCCUUUGUGGCCUUGCUGGACAACCUCAGUAUGGGGACGGAGACUGAGGGACUGUCACUCCAGGCUGACCCCUAGGACUCAUCUGUACACCCUCUCUAGGGAGUAGUAACUCCCCUGCUCUAGCUAUGUGUUCUGAUUCUCCACCCUUCUCUUAAAGGGAGAAAUAUUUUCUUGCAUGGAUUCAAUAAUGGAUCAAACUUAAUCCAGCCAAUGCUUAUACCAAUCCUAAAGUUUCAAAUCCAUGAUGAGAAGUAGUGCACACUUCGGGAAAAAGAUGGACAUUCGGAAUACUCCACAAAUUGUUUCAGUUUUUGUGAGGCUAUUCAUUUGGUCACCGUAAUUCACCUUUACUCUCUGGAUUAUGUCACUCUUAACCAAGCAAGAUAGCCACAUUAGUGACUCAACCCACUCAAGUGAUGCACCCCUCCUAGGGAUGGUAUGAAAGAGCCCCAGUAAGCCAGUGACUCAAAUACAAUGAGUGUACAAAACAUUCCUUAUUUUGAGAUGUGCUCCUUUUGCCCUCAGAACAGCCUCAAUCCAUCGGGGCAUGGUCUCUACAAGGUGUCGAAAGCAUUCCACAGGGAUGCAGGCCCAUGUUGAUUCAAAUGCUUCCCACAGUUGUGUCAAGUUGGCUGGGUAUACACGUGAAACUGUUGAUCGUGAAAACCCCAGCAGCAUUGCAGUUCUUGACACAAACCGGUGCAUCUGGCAUCUACUACCAUACCCCGUUCAAAGGCACUUACAUUUUUUGUCUUUCCCAUUCACACUCUAAAUAGCGCACGUACACAAUCCAUGUUUCAAUUAUUUCAAGGCUUAAGCAUCCUUCUUUAUCCUCCUCCCCUUCAUCUACACUGAAGUGGAUUUCACAAGUGAUAUUAAUAAGGGAUCAUAGUUUUAACCUGGUCAGUCUGUCAAGGAAAGAAUGUUUUGUACACUCAUUGUGUUUUUAUCUAUUCGAUGAUGGGAUCAACUUCUAUUGUGUGAUAUUCCAUUUUAUACUUAAUACUCAAUAUUUUGGUCUGCCCUGCAAUUUAAUUUACUGUAGAAUCAAAGUUGAGGUUUUUUGGCUUGUCAUAGAUUGUGCAGAGAUACAUUUGCUGUAACAUACAGCCCUAUGUGCGAUUUAAUAGAUUAAUUAUAUAAUGUUGCUAAUUUAAUUAUUUUCCUGUUUUUAUUGUGUUUUCAUAAAACAAUACUUCAUAGCGGAAUUAACAUCCUCCUAGCUGACUUAAAAGAGGGAUUCUACAUGCCCCUUCCUCCAACAGAAGCCAUAUCUCUCCACAGUGAAGGCAAAUAUGCACUUCAUGAACAGGUUGUUUUUACAUUUUUUUGCAGCUGAAAGAAUUAUAUUAAUGUUCAAAUGUAUUCUUGUUUAUUGUUGUAUAAAAUAUUGUCCCUCGAUCAUUUCUUACCAUUGGGCGUACCAGAGGUGAUAUGUGGU
Oncorhynchus masou masou (cherry salmon) is the source of this 2131-nucleotide long non-coding RNA. RefSeq lists it as uncharacterized. The record is from RefSeq and is a predicted model, not a curated record. The transcript has 5 exons. NCBI's taxonomy places the organism in Eukaryota, Metazoa, Chordata, Actinopteri, Salmoniformes, Salmonidae.